This is a long non-coding RNA of Zerene cesonia (dogface butterfly), 441 nucleotides long. RefSeq lists it as uncharacterized. Lineage: Eukaryota; Metazoa; Arthropoda; Insecta; Lepidoptera; Pieridae. The record is from RefSeq and is a predicted model, not a curated record. The transcript has 2 exons.
GCCACUCGUGUCUCAUUUCCCACUCGACAGUGAUCUGUGAUGGACUGCUGCAAGUUAGAUCAAUGAAUUUAUAAACGGACUUGUUCAGUGAUUUUGUGUAUACAAUGACACAUAGAACGAUAAUUCUGGUGCUCUGCAUGCUAUUAGCAUUUAAUGUCGUAUUGACGUAUGUUUUGCCGCCAAAAAACUACCACAGAGAAGAUAUUGAAGAAAAUAAGUUGAACAAAUCUGCCAUAGGUCAUUCGCAAGAUUAUAUUAAAUAUAGCUAUCUUAUAACGACAUACUUAUAGUACAAAUUGAAUUGUAAAUGUUAGUAUAAGUGGUUAUAGUCAGUGAUAAGUGUUAGGUUAGAAUCUCAUAGCUUGUAAUACACCUCGACAAAAAAUAGCGCUGUUUAGUUUUAAAUGAUUUCUAAUAUUUUAAUAAAAACUUUUUCAAAUA